This 192-nucleotide ribosomal RNA is filed under the name uncultured bacterium. RNAcentral's name for it is "partial 16S ribosomal RNA". It matches the Rfam family "Bacterial small subunit ribosomal RNA", at positions 336 to 526 of the family's 1533-position model. The record is from RNAcentral.
CUCCUACGGGGGCAGCAGUAAGGAAUAUUGGUCAAUGGGCGGAAGCCUGAACCAGCCAUGCCGCGUGCAGGAAGACGGCCCUACGGGUUGUAAACUGCUUUUAUACGGGAAUAAACCCACCUACGUGUAGGUGGCUGAAUGUACUGUAAGAAUAAGGAUCGGCUAACUCCGUGCCAGCCGCCGCGGUAAUAC